RNAcentral lists this ribosomal RNA (239 nucleotides) under uncultured bacterium. Its description in RNAcentral is "partial 16S ribosomal RNA". It matches the Rfam family "Bacterial small subunit ribosomal RNA", at positions 96 to 334 of the family's 1533-position model. The record is from RNAcentral.
CGGCGGACGGGUGAGUAACGCGUGGGUAACCUGCCUCAUACAGGGGGAUAAUAGUUGGAAACGGACUGCUAAUACCGCAUAAGCGCACAGUACCGCAUGGUACGGUGUGAAAAACUCCGGUGGUAUGAGAUGGACCCGCGUCUGAUUAGGUAGUUGGUGGGGUAACGGCCUACCAAGCCGACGAUCAGUAGCCGACCUGAGAGGGUGACCGGCCACAUUGGGACUGAGACACGGCCCAA